AAUGCCCUCCGUCGUCACCCCUUAACAAGCGUUACCCGCGUUCGGACUGCUGCGUUGCGGCGCACCCCCUGCUUCCGGAAGCCCAACAUUUGGGGACAGUCUCCCUUUCUUCCCACAGCCGCGCUAUUGGCGGCCGUGAACUGCCAUGGAAGUCUCCUUCGGGGCCGGUUGAGACACGGUCGUCGGCGCCUUA
This 193-nucleotide ribosomal RNA is filed under the name uncultured Actinomycetes bacterium. RNAcentral describes it as "uncultured actinobacterium partial 16S ribosomal RNA". Lineage: Bacteria; Bacillati; Actinomycetota; Actinomycetes. The record is from RNAcentral.